GAUGAAGAACGCAGCGAAAUGCGAUACUUGGUGUGAAUUGCAGAAUCCCGUGAACCAUCGAGUCUUUGAACGCAAGUUGCGCCCGAAGCCAUCAGGUUGAGGGCACGUCUGCCUGGGCGUCACAUAUCGUUGCCCAAUGCCUAUUGCAGUGCAAUAGGAAUUUCUAGGGCGAAUGAUGGCUUCCCGUGAGCGUUGUUGCCUCGCGGUUGGUUGAAAAUCGAGUCCUUGGUAGGGUGUGCCAUGGUAGAUGGUGGUCGAGUUAGAACGAUACCGAUCAUGUGCAUGCUCCCCAAAAUAUGGCCUCUAUGACCCACACGCGUCUUUUGACGCUCAUGACGAGACCUCAGGUCAGGCGGGGCUACCCGCUGAAUUAAAGCAUAUCAAUAAGCGGAGGA
RNAcentral lists this unclassified non-coding RNA (395 nucleotides) under soil metagenome. Its description in RNAcentral is "partial contains 5.8S ribosomal RNA, internal transcribed spacer 2, and large subunit ribosomal RNA". The stretch from base 1 to 122 matches the Rfam family "5.8S ribosomal RNA", at positions 35 to 154 of the family's 154-position model. The record is from RNAcentral.